UCAACAUAUAAAAGAUGCAUGUCUUUCUGGUUGAUAACAUAUCAAACUCACAUCAAGGGUGACCUUUGAGUCCUUAUCAUGGCACCAUGGUUUGCACAAACCGUCCACUCCACCACCACCAGCACUCAAUCCUUCCAUCAUUACGGAUGUCAACCCUUCGUAACUUUCAUUGCCUCAAUUUCUCACCCCUUUUCACUUUAAUCCAUCUUCAAGCGAUCUGUUCAUCACUUCAUUUGCAUAUAUGCUGAAGCCAUGUGUUGAUUUUUUUCUUCAUCUUUUUUUUUUCUGAAAUUGGGGCUUAACAAAUUACAAGGCUAACCACAUAGUUUAUUGCUAAUUUGAUUUGGAUGCUAAGAAUCAACUAGAGACUACUGAGCUGAACUUUUUUGUUGAAUUUCUGGGCUUAAGGUGUUCAAAAUCAGAUGAUGAUGGCAGAGGAUGACGAAAGCUUUCAAGAACGCAUUUGAUGAAAACAUCGUUGUAUAAAGCUUCCAUUAGCCCGUUAGCCUGAGACGGAAGAUGAAAACGAUGAAUCAUCUUCUGAAAUAACCAAGCACCAACAACCUAAACUACUUUGUGGAGAACGGGGGAGCGUAAGGGUGGUGAGAGAAGGAGGUGAAAUUCGAGAUAUAGGUGUUGAAAUUGGGGAAGCUAGAAUUCAAAAUUGAACGUAGAAAGCAAAUGGCCGAUAUAAGGGGAAGAGAUAGACGACGACUGGUCGUUGUGGUCCGACAUCGUUGCUGUUGAAAAUCAUUUGGAGAAGGAUGAAGAUGAUAAAAAGUAGGGUGGCAAGACCAUGCCAAAUAAAUUAGUUGGGUUGAGUUUUUUAAACCGUCAUCCCAAACAGGUCGUAUAAUAGUUUUUCAAAAAUAAAGGUUGACUUGUGAAUCCGUUUAUAGUUUUAAUAAAAGAAAUUAUUUUAUUUUUAAAUGUAUUUAUGCAUUAAGUAUUAAUAUUUAAUAAAU
This is a long non-coding RNA of Lactuca sativa (garden lettuce), 965 nucleotides long. RefSeq lists it as uncharacterized. Lineage: Eukaryota; Viridiplantae; Streptophyta; Magnoliopsida; Asterales; Asteraceae. The record is from RefSeq and is a predicted model, not a curated record.